Molecule: long non-coding RNA, 3668 nt
Organism: Saccostrea cuccullata (small rock oyster)
Lineage: Eukaryota; Metazoa; Mollusca; Bivalvia; Ostreida; Ostreidae
Exons: 4
Source: RefSeq, a predicted model, not a curated record
AGUUUGAUGUUAGAAAAGAUAAAGAACACCUGUAUUUAGACCUUGAGUUUAUAUACACUGAUAACCAUCUGAUAUUCCUACUAAGCUUAGACAUUUGUUAUAGCAUAUAAAGUUUAAAAAUAAAAACUGGAAGGUUUCGUAGGACGUUCAUGGUUAGAGUCGGAGUAAUCUCGGACUAAUUGACGCGUCAAGUGGUUGUGCGUUUGUGUGUAGAAAAUCCAUGUCACGAAAGCUUGAAAAAAUAAGCUAACAUACAUUUACUACUCGUUUCUGAUUUGCAUUAUUAUUAUUUAAUUUUGUAAGGGAUGUUUUUCGUUUGGUUUUUUUUCGAAGCAUACAAAUUUGUAACCGCCACAAAAUAAAAAAAAUCUUAUUCAUUUAAUACUUCUUAACAUUCGCCAACCACGUAAGUCCUAACAUAAACAAACUGUUGGAAAAAAAAUCAUAAUUGGAUUCUACAACGUUUAGAUACAGAUGCACAAAAAGCAAUAUUUUAUCCUCCCUAAACCAGUAAACCUCGAGAAUUUAAACCGCGAGAAUAUGUGAUUUUUACAGUAGGGACAUAAAUACAGCAAAUAAUUCUCUGUCAGCGAAUUAUAAAUAGGUAUGAAUUUUUUUUUAAUCAUAAGAAUCAACAGUUUUAUCUAAAAUUUGAUAUUUUUUUUUUCAGGGGAAAUAUGGAAAAGUUUGAGUUUCUAUCUAUAUUUGUUUACAUGUUAUUGAAUUUAGUAUUGCGUGUCGCUUGUGUUUUCUUCAAGUUCCCUGCCCUAUUUUACACUUCCCUGGUUAUUGACAUCCUUUUACUUUUUUGUUUUGGAGUUUACCUGUCAUUUUUGAACUGCCAAAGGGGUAAGAAUUUUAAGAUUGAUCCAUCUUUAAAAUAAUGUUUGCUUGUCCUUUCCUGACACACAGGGUGAAAUUACUUGGUGGUAAGUAGGUGAGAAAAAAAUUACAGAAAAUUUGGACUUAUUUGUUGACGGGAUAAGAGAAUUAAAAAGAAAAAAACAUGUCCUGGAAUGUAAUAAAAAAUUAUGAAGAGCCAUUUUUGGUUAGACGAUUUGGAAAGGGCAACUAAACAAUUUUUUGUAAGAUGACCACAUAGGCAUAUAGAUAAUAUGAAAUCUUAGUUAAAAGCAUAUAGUACAGUGGAGUCGCCAAUUUCGGGUCGUCUCCUUUUCCAGGUCACUCGCGUGUAUUUUAUGCCUAGUGUUAAAAUUUAAGCGUAAAAAACUUAAUGAAUACGCUGAUCGUGAAGAACUGGUCUUUCUCUAUGUAAUUAAUUACACAAUUUUGAAUAUCAACUUUAAGAGAGCAUCCGACAAUCGAAAUUCUGAAACACACGCAUUAAAGACUUGGAAGUUUCUGCUGAGGUGACGGGCUACUUUUGUUUUUGUUCGCUGCCGAAAGGCUGAUGUAAAAGUUCUAGAUGAAUAAAAAGAGCUCAAAAGAAUGGCAAAUGCAUUUAGUUUUAACUCAGAAAUCAAUCAUAAUGAUCAAUGCUCAAAUAAAAUUAGAAUGAUUUUUAAAUCAAACUGUAGUAGUUUCUCCAAUUGUGGGUCACGCAAUCUCGUGGCAUGAAAAUCUCAAAAUUCUAUGUACAAAACCAAUCGACAACUAGGUAUUGACCUUGAUUAUUAAAAGUAUUCUAACUGGGAAAUAUUUUUUCUAAAAAUUAAAAUCGAGUGAACUCUUCAAAUGCAUCUUUUAAAUAAAUGAAUUUGAUUGUAUUAUUUUUAAUCCUAAUACAUUUUUUUACAUUCUGCAUACUGCAAUUUGUUUUGUUGUAAUUGUUUUAAAAAUAAUUUAAACAUAUUUCUGUGAUUGUUUUACUUUUUUCCAAGCUGCAUAAAUUGUUUUAUGUUUCAACAUCAUAAAAAUCGUGUUCUGAAACGUUCCAUGAAUAUCACACAACCGUGAAGACACAUGACCCGGAAAAGGAGAAAAUGAUUCGUAACUGGGAAGCUAGGCCUUGCUGAAAUACCCCUUGUAAAUAUUGUUCCCGUGUAGCUACUUUGAAAAGAAAAGGCGCUUGGAUGACUCAAUAUUUGUUCUUUCAAUACAUAUAUUUCAUAAAAUAUAAAUUGAACAGAUUUGCAAAAUAUCAACUAUACACCCUGACGUGACCCGGAAUUGGCGACUUCACUGUACAUGAAUAUUACAUGAUUUUUUUUUUCUUAUUACCGGUUUAAACUGCUGAACUGUUGCUCUGUGACUGAGAAAAUUCUGAGAAAGAACUACAGGAUACAUAACAAGUUUUGUAAAAACCUUGAUAUAUGGCCGCCGUGUUUUAGUCGCUUGCUUCAAGUAUUAUUUCUUGAAUUGAAUGAUUUCACACAUUCUCAUGUCAUCCCCUGUACAUGUAGCAUUUGAAAUUUUGGCUGUCUGCAGAAGCAUUCUUGUUAUUACAACACAGUCUAGUUUUGAAGAAUAUUCAGGGCUAUAUUAAAAAAUUGUUUGCAAUUGCCAACCAACCCACUAAAAAUGCCUCCGACUCAAACUUUUUUACAGCCAUUAUUUGUUAUUUUGGUUUUUUUUUUUUUUUUUUUUUUUUAACAUGAAGUUUCAAAUUUUUAGGAUGUUGAAACUUUUAUGUCUAUUUUCAAAAUUUUGUUUCUGUCAAUAAGUGGCAUAAAGUAAUUAGCUUUAUUUACCAACAAUAAUCUUAUGAAAAUCUCUGUCUGAGGGGUUUUUAAUCCAACUAAAACUUGAUAUCUAUUUUUAAAAAAAUAAUAUCUAUCUACUGACCCACUCUUAAGAUAAAAGGUCAGCAACUGCAAACAAAAUUUUUUUAAGCUUUGCCCCGUGUAUAAAUAGAAUUAUUUGAUUUAUUGAAAUUCUAUUUUAAUCCCCAAAACAGGAAGUAAUCGAUCACAUGUCACAAACAUUCAAAAUGGAGGACUGUGAUUUGCCAUGUGCAGUUAUUCUAUUUCAUUCUGAUCUUGAUUUCUCUCAAGCAUGUGCAUUUUGCUCUGACAUGGAUAUAGAUGUUUUAGAAACUGAAAUAUAUGGUUAUAGUUGUUUAGUAUUUUUUUUACAAAUGGAAUUUAGUGCAGUUUUGUUUUUUUGCAACCUCAGUGGUUUUUCUAUUAAUAAGUAUAUUCAGCAGUAAAAAAAAGGAAAUUAGUGGAUAUUAAGGUAAGAAUGUAAUUAAUUUUAUUUUUGUUUGGUAUUUCUUUUUCAAAUUAAUUUAAAUUCAUUGGCUCAAUUGAGACAUUCAACAGUAAACCUAGUUUGACUGCCCAGGCCCACUCUGUUAGUCAUUUUAUCCCCGUAAUGACAGACUGACAUGGAACACUCGACAGACUCUGAAUGACACAGAUUUUUAUGGGGAGAGAAAUGGAGGUUUUGCUUUUGAUGAUAUUAGUGACAAGUAUCAUAAUUAUGAUGAUCUUAGGUAUUGGUAUCAUUUUCCUUUUUAUCUUCUUUCGAAAGUGGACAAGUUUUUUCAGAAGGUGGAAUGAACUUAUUCAGUAAUGAAAAGAAACUGAAGAUGCCAGCUCAAACAAGGAGGAAGAGGAAAGAAAAUAGAAAGACUGAAGAAGUUACUUAUGUAAAAGACCAAAUCGUAUAUUGUUUAUGGAGGGGGAUAUGGUGGCCCGGUUCCGUGGAGAGGGUUUUAAAAAACGAUGUGUACCAAAUUUCCUUUUGGAAAGAGGAGGAAAGGUAAA